This 301-nucleotide ribosomal RNA is filed under the name uncultured bacterium. RNAcentral's name for it is "partial 16S ribosomal RNA". It matches the Rfam family "Bacterial small subunit ribosomal RNA", at positions 509 to 809 of the family's 1533-position model. The record is from RNAcentral.
CAGUAGCCGCGGUAAUACAGAGGGUGCAAGCGUUAAUCGGAAUUACUGGGCGUAAAGCGCGCGUAGGUGGUUUGUUAAGUUGGAUGUGAAAUCCCCGGGCUCAACCUGGGAACUGCAUCCAAAACUGGCAAGCUAGAGUAUGGUAGAGGGUGGUGGAAUUUCCUGUGUAGCGGUGAAAUGCGUAGAUAUAGGAAGGAACACCAGUGGCGAAGGCGACCACCUGGACUGAUACUGACACUGAGGUGCGAAAGCGUGGGGAGCAAACAGGAUUAGAUACCCCGGUAGUCCUGUCUCUUAUACA